AGCUUUGUGCAGUAGCAGUAUUGUAGCCAAUGAGGUUUAUCCGAGGCACGAUUAUUGCUAAUUGGGAUAGUCCCGCACAAAGCCCAUGGCCAGAGAGGGUGGUUGAACAAUUAGAUCUUAUGACUUGAGGUAUUUGAACCUGAGAAACAGAGAAAAAGUUAAGUACUCUGAAGCCAGA
This is a small nuclear RNA of Equus asinus (donkey), 178 nucleotides long. Its record names the gene U4. It matches the Rfam family "U4 spliceosomal RNA". Rfam says of the family: U4 small nuclear RNA (U4 snRNA) is a component of the major U2-dependent spliceosome. The structure of U4 snRNA from yeast and human has been reported. U4 snRNA presents a k-turn RNA motif in the 5p-SL related to recognition of Snu13 protein. NCBI's taxonomy places the organism in Eukaryota, Metazoa, Chordata, Mammalia, Perissodactyla, Equidae. The record is from Ensembl.